UCUCCGUAGGUGAACCUGCGGAGGGAUCAUUACUGAGUGAGGGCCUCCGGCCCGACCUCCAACCCAUUGUGAAUCAAUACCUCGUUGCCUCGGGGCUCACCUCGGGCUCACGCCCCAGGGGCCCCGACGGACACCCUUCCAAACUCUUGCGUCUUUGCGUCUGAGUCUAUUGCAAAUAAGUAAAAACUUUCAACAACGGAUCUCUUGGUUCUGGCAUCGAUGAAGAACGCAGC
RNAcentral lists this unclassified non-coding RNA (233 nucleotides) under uncultured fungus. RNAcentral's name for it is "sequence contains ITS1, 5.8S rRNA gene". The stretch from base 185 to 233 matches the Rfam family "5.8S ribosomal RNA", at positions 1 to 49 of the family's 154-position model. Lineage: Eukaryota; Fungi. The record is from RNAcentral.